This 338-nucleotide unclassified non-coding RNA is filed under the name soil metagenome. Its description in RNAcentral is "partial contains 5.8S ribosomal RNA, internal transcribed spacer 2, and large subunit ribosomal RNA". The stretch from base 1 to 120 matches the Rfam family "5.8S ribosomal RNA", at positions 35 to 154 of the family's 154-position model. The record is from RNAcentral.
GAUGAAGAACGCAGCGAAAUGCGAUAAGUAAUGUGAAUUGCAGAAUUCAGUGAAUCAUCGAAUCUUUGAACGCACAUUGCGCCCGCCAGCAUUCUGGCGGGCAUGCCUGUUCGAGCGUCAUUUCAACCCUCAAGCUCUGCUUGGUGUUGGGGCCCUACGGUUGACGUAGGCCCUUAAAGGUAGUGGCGGACCCUCUCGGAGCCUCCUUUGCGUAGUAACUAACGUCUCGCAUUGGGAUUCGGAGGGACUCUUGCCGUAAAACCCCCAAAUUUUCUAAUGGUUGACCUCGGAUCAGGUAGGAAUACUCGCUGAACUUAAGCAUAUCAAUAAGCGGAGGA